Molecule: long non-coding RNA, 1632 nt
Filed under: Homo sapiens (human)
Lineage: Eukaryota; Metazoa; Chordata; Mammalia; Primates; Hominidae
Description: non-protein coding lnc-DAD1-2:11
Source: RNAcentral
AUUGGCUGCCCACCCUCUGAAAAGCGACUGAGUCCUUGAGUCUCCUGGGAUGUUCAUAUGAAUCCCCUUGAAGCUUUAAUUUGAUAAGACCUCAGUGGAGACUGCUGAACCCCUGGGAUUUAACAUCAUAUAUUAUUCAUUGUUGCUGUUGCCACAGACGUGCUGAUUUUGCCCCUGCUGAGCAAGGCACUUCUGCACAUGGGAACUUGAUGGCUAACCACACUGCAUGUUCUUCAGGCAGGGCCUAUCCCAGAACGUUCCAAGCUGUCUGCUAGCAAGUCUGCAUUAACUCCCUCAAUGCUGCAUGCACGGUGUCCCUGAGUCCUUCACCACCCGCCCCGCCACCAGAGCCAGUCUUUUUAAGAAUUUUGCCUGGGCUGUGUUUUUCAAAGUGCCUCUCUCUAGUGUGCAUCUCUUCUUAAUCACAGAAAGCAGAUCUGAGAGCUUCUAAUGCACUUCUCUAUUACUUCAAGAACACUGUGUAUAAUAAUAAACUCUACAGAAAUAAACCAAAUCACAAGAAGCUUUCAGGUCUGGAGGCUGACAUUUCUCAAGACAGAUGCAAAAACCCAGGCCCAGAGAGAUGAAGAAACCUGGCUAAGGUAACAUGAUGUCUGAUCUGAAAGCAUGUUGUGGUCCGCUACACACAAGAGCAAAAGAAGAGCAGGAAGGAGCUCAGUGCCAAGACCAUAGCCACAGGAAGAAAACCAGCUCUUAGGGCUGCAGCUCUAAAGACAGGCCAGGUCAUUACAGGAACGUCUGCUCCCUUAGCCUUGCCAGACAGAGGAGGGUUAAGAAAGGAACUGCUGACCCUGAUAUGCAAACUGCCACGAGUGCUUCCUGCCUUUCUAUCAGCAUCAGAUGGCUAGCGAUGGAUGGCUGUAAGAUUGAUGUAAUUAACAUUUUAUUUUCAGGGCCACAGUGCUGGUUGGGUGCACCAGACAAAUCAACCAACAGAUUAAAGAGUGAUGGAGAAAGCUGUGUUUUGGGCCUCAUUUGGGAACAGAAUGGAAGAGCUGAGGGUGGAAGGGACCUCAGCAAGUCUUCUGAUCCAUGUUUCAACCUUCAUUUCCCCGAUAACCUCAAGGAGAGAGUUGCUUUUCCUGUUCUUCAAAUGAGUUCCUUGAAUUCACACUCUAUUUCUUUGAAUUUGCACAGACUGUUGAGGAACAGGCGGCAGGGUCACUCUACCUCUGCUCAGACAAGCCUGGAAAAGAAAAAUUUUACAUAGAAGACUGAGCUGGAAGAGGCCUGGGAACUUGGGAAUUCCCACUUCCACACUGCCCACUCUAGUUCUCAAGAGGCGGCAGCUAUGCUGCAGUACAGACCACUGAAUUUAGAUUCAGGAAUCUGGGUUUAUAUCUCACUCCUCCUCUUACUUGCAAGUCACUUACCACACCAGGCCUCGGUUUCCUGGACAAUAAAAUGGGGAUAACGUUGCCCCAUGUGGUUGUUGGUGGUCAUGAAAUUAUGCACACGAGCACGCCUUGUAAUCUAGGUUAGACCUGCACUAACCUAGAUUAGCUGACCAGGGUGGAAGGUGGGAGGGGCAGGCUUCAGUGUGUGACUUACCUAGAGGCCAAGGGGAGUCACCAUGGAUAGGGCAGCACUUGUAAGUCCUCUGCUCUCUCA